Molecule: ribosomal RNA, 500 nt
Filed under: uncultured bacterium
Lineage: Bacteria
Description: partial 16S ribosomal RNA
Rfam family: Bacterial small subunit ribosomal RNA
Source: RNAcentral
AUUGAACGCUGGCGGAAUGCUUUACACAUGCAAGUCGAACGGCAGCACGGACUUCGGUCUGGUGGCGAGUGGCGAACGGGUGAGUAAUGUAUCGGAACGUGCCCAGUCGUGGGGGAUAACGUAGUGAAAAUUACGCUAAUACCGCAUACGAUCAAUGGAUGAAAGCGGGGGAUCGCAAGACCUCGCGCGAUUGGAGCGGCCGAGAUCAGAUUAGGUAGUUGGUGGGGUAAAGGCCCACCACGCCAACGAUCUGUAGCUGGUCUGAGAGGACGACCAGACACACUGGAACUGAGACACGGUACAGACUCCUACGGGAGGCAGCAGUGGGGAAUUUUGGACAAUGGGCGAAAGCCUGAUCCAGCCAUUCCGCGUGCAGGGUGAAGGCCCUCGGGUUGUAAACUGCUUUUGUACAGAACGAAAAGGUUUCUACUAAUACUAGGAGCUCAUGACGGUACUGUAAGAAUAAGCACCGGCUAACUACGUGCCAGCAGCCGCCGCCG